AGAAAAGAAAGGAGGGUGUGUGUCUUUCUUAACCAAAGAGGGAAGACAGGCCUUCCAGGGCUUCUUCCUCUUUCUUUUCGUCCUUCUUUUCUUCCUUGGCC
This 101-nucleotide small RNA is filed under the name Nitrososphaera viennensis EN76. RNAcentral's name for it is "traJ-II". Lineage: Archaea; Thermoproteati; Nitrososphaerota; Nitrososphaeria; Nitrososphaerales; Nitrososphaeraceae. The record is from RNAcentral.